CUACGGGUUGCUGCAGUGAGGAAUAUUGCACAAUGGGGGGAACCCUGAUGCAGCAACGCCGCGUGGAGGAUGACGCAUUUCGGUGUGUAAACUCCUUUUAUAUGUCAAGAAAAUGACGGUAGCAUAUGAAUAAGCACCGGCUAACUCCGUGCCAGCAGCCGCGGUAAUACGGAGGGUGCAAGCGUUACUCGGAAUCACUGGGCGUAAAGGAAGCGUAGGCGGGUUGGAAAGUCAGGUGUGAAAUCCUACAGCUUAACUGUAGAACUGCACUUGAAACUUCUAAUCUAGAGUAUGGGAGGGGGAGAUGGAAUUAGUGGUGUAGGGGUAAAAUCCGUAGAUAUCACUAGGAAUACCAAAAGCGAAGGCGAUCUCCUGGAACAUUACUGACGCUAAGGCGUGAAAGCGUGGGGAGCAAACAGGAUUAGAUACCCUUGUAGUC
This 439-nucleotide ribosomal RNA is filed under the name uncultured bacterium. RNAcentral describes it as "partial 16S ribosomal RNA". It matches the Rfam family "Bacterial small subunit ribosomal RNA", at positions 339 to 795 of the family's 1533-position model. The record is from RNAcentral.